RNAcentral lists this long non-coding RNA (2559 nucleotides) under Bemisia tabaci. RNAcentral describes it as "lncRNA ENSASIAIIG006083". The record is from RNAcentral. Lineage: Eukaryota; Metazoa; Arthropoda; Insecta; Hemiptera; Aleyrodidae.
GAUGAAAAUAAAGAGGAGCUUUUUUUGCUGCUCGGUGAAUACGCACUUUCAGGUUUUAAAUCCCUAACAAUAACGACUGAGAUACGCGGAUUUAUACGAUCGUCUCACCCAACACGGACCUUCAUCCACGGCAAGAAAUGUAGGCUUGAAGAGGAGGCAGACAGUCGCAUUUUUCUUCACGUCAGUGAUUGCGCACGGAACGGGUCGAAAACAGUUGUAAUUUUUACAGUUGAUACGGAUGUAGCAGUGUUAGCCACAUCGUAUGCCACGCAUCUCUCUACCAUGGGCUUGGAUGAUAUGUGGUUGCUUUUUGGUACUGGCAAGCAACAACGUUUCAUUAACAUCUAUGCGAUUGAGCGAAUUAUUGGAGCCGAAAAUGCAAUUGCUUUGCGGGGAUUCCACGCCUUCACCGGUUGCGACUUGACUUCCUCAUUUACAUCAAAAGGAAAAUUGAGCGCGUGGAACACUUGGAAAAAAUUCCCCGAGGCAACAACAGCGUUCACAGAACUGUCCCAGCCAAAAGAGUCUCUUUCUCCAGGUUGUUUUCAAAUUUUGGAAAAAUUUACAAGCCUACUAUAUUAUAGUGACGCCAGCAAUAUGCCGAUAAACCUCGUGCGGAAGCAUCUUUUCGUAACUAAAAUGCGAGCCCUCCAAAAUUUGCCUCCAACAAAGGAGGCACUUCAUCAGCAUUGCCUCCGCGCAUCUUAUCAAGCAGGACAAGUUUGGGGGCGUGCUUUUGCUCCAGAGGAUAUCAUUCCUGCUCCAGAAUUGUGGGGAUGGAGAAGAGUAAAAGGAAUGUGGAAACCAAAAUGGUCAACUUUGCCUUCAAUCUGGGAUGCAUGUCGAGAGUUGGUGAAGUGCUCCUGUACAGCUGGCUGCAAAAAUAGAUGCUCCUGUCGGAAAUCUCGUGUUCCGUGCACGCUUCUCUGUGCAAGGUGUGCACAUGGGGAAGGAGUUAAAUGUUUGAAUGAAUUCAACAAGAGAAUGGACGUUGAGAAUGAUGACGAAGAGGCUCCUUAUCUUCCGGUAGUCCAAGAAAGUGAAGGAUAACGUGCAAUUAAAACUUUGAUCUCUCUUUACAUAUGCCUUAUAAUGUAUCUCUUUAUUUAAUAUUCCCUGCUCUAGUUUUUAUGAUAUAGCAGGUUUUCUCAAUGCAUGGAAGACAAGACUCUUCUUGUAUUUUCUUCUUUCCUUUUUUUUAAAAAAACCUCCAGUCAAUAUGCAUGUUAUCAUCUCUUCUUUUUAUCUAUUACGAUAUAUCGUGUUUUGUUUUUACUUAGCAUCGUUCAGUCCUAAAAACGAUUUUUCCCGUCCAAAACCAAAGAAUUAUGUAAAUUGUAAAUACCUUUUAUUGUUGAUUUCUUUAAAGUUUACCAAAAGUUAAUCAAGAAAAUACUUUAAGCUGCAAAUCAUUCUAGAGAAAUGAUGUGAACUCUGUAACUGAAAUAAAAUUUGUAUCGCAAUUCCAUGUUCCUUUCCUCACAUUGAAAUGACGAUGGCAUAAAAGAUAUCGUAAUUAUGAUAAAACAUAUUUUUUCCUACUCCACCAGACUUCCCAUAGAGAUUUUUGAAAGCUUGGUAAAGAUUAAUUAUCUAAACGGAAUGGAUGACAACCGAAGUACAGUGCAUACAAUAGCUGCGAAGGGCCUCAACAACGAACAACCCCACGCGGGUCACGCGCGCCGCAAGACGCGCAACGUUGCGUUCUCCUUAAGUCACACUGGCGGGUUUACUUUUCAUCGCACAAAAUUGGUUUUGGUAUCAAAUUAAACCUCAAAUGAUUCUACGUUUACAUUUGGUAACAAAACACCCAUUUAAAAUCGCCCGCAUUGCAUAUUCAACCGAAAUUUUUUUGUAAAUUUGAAAAUUUUGGAUUUUCUUGAAAAUUUUGAGAAAUUACCAAGUUAACGCCGAUAAUAAUUAAUGAGCUGAUUCUUCUCGAGUACAUCUACUUAUAAAAAAAAUUUGAUCAAAAUCGACAGCAUAGCAACCGAAAUACAGCGCAUUGAAGGAUUCCGUCGGCCGUCCAGGGCGCUGAAACGGGUCCCGCACCGCGCGGCGCGCACCCGCGCGUAUCACUUAAAUUGAUCUCACGGCUUUAUUUAUUAUCGCACAGAAAUGGUUUUGGUAUCAAAUUAAACGCCAAACAAUUCUACAGCUCCUUUAGAGAAGACCAAAUAUCCAUUUUCUCGCCUGUUUAAAAGUUAUUUGACCUCAAAGUUUCCGAAAAUUGGAACAUUUUCAGUUAAGCUCAAUUUGAGAAAAAAAUAUAAGUCUGACAGGGAAAGUGACAAGAAAUAAAAUUGUUCUCCUAGAAAUUACCUUUCAUUUAAAAAAAAGUUGAUCAAAAUCGGAUCCAUAGCAACCGAGGGACAGCGCUUUGAAAAAAACCAAAAUGGCGGACUUUAACGGCCGCCAUCUUGCUCCAGUCGCGGGGCUCAGAGUGUUUCCCCUUCCAGAAUUGCUCCUGAGGGUACCACCAAUGAGCCCUGAAAGCGGCAUAUUCCAAUCAAAAAGUGCAGGGUUUUUGCCAUUUUCGGGUCGUAGUCAACGGACUAU